UGGGGAAUUGUUCGCAAUGGGCGCAAGCCUGACGACGCAACGCCGCGUGGAGGAUGAAGGUCUUCGGAUUGUAAACUCCUGUUGAUCGGGACGAACGGCUAUCGGGUAAAUAGCCCGGAAGAGUGACGGUACCGAUUGAGGAAGCCACGGCUAACUCUGUGCCAGCAGCCGCGGUAAUACAGAGGUGGCAAGCGUUGUUCGGAAUUACUGGGCGUAAAGGGCGCGUAGGUGGCCUUCUUAGUCAGACGUGAAAUCCCCGGGCUUAACUCGGGAACUGCGUCUGAUACUGGAAGGCUCGAGUUCGGGAGAGGAAUGUGGAAUUCCAGGUGUAGCGGUGAAAUGCGUAGAUAUCUGGAGGAACACCGGUGGCGAAGGCGGCAUUCUGGACCGAAACUGACACUGAGGCGCGAAAGCGUGGGGAGCGAA
RNAcentral lists this ribosomal RNA (426 nucleotides) under uncultured bacterium. RNAcentral's name for it is "bacterial SSU rRNA". It matches the Rfam family "Bacterial small subunit ribosomal RNA", at positions 355 to 772 of the family's 1533-position model. The record is from RNAcentral.